This 253-nucleotide ribosomal RNA is filed under the name uncultured bacterium. RNAcentral describes it as "partial 16S ribosomal RNA". It matches the Rfam family "Bacterial small subunit ribosomal RNA", at positions 524 to 776 of the family's 1533-position model. The record is from RNAcentral.
UACGAAGGGGGCUAGCGCUGCUCGGAAUCACUGGGCGUAAAGCGCACGUAGGCGGUUCGUUAUGUCGGAUGUGAAAGCCCUCGGCUUAACUGAGGAAGUGCAUCCGAAACUGGCAGGCUAGAGUACUAAAGAGGGUCGCGGAAUUCCCGGUGUAGAGGUGAAAUUCGUAGAUAUCGGGAGGAACACCGGUGGCGAAGGCGGCGACCUGGGUAGAUACUGACGCUGAGGUGCGAAAGCGUGGGGAGCAAACAGG